This is a long non-coding RNA of Uloborus diversus, 262 nucleotides long. RefSeq lists it as uncharacterized. Lineage: Eukaryota; Metazoa; Arthropoda; Arachnida; Araneae; Uloboridae. The record is from RefSeq and is a predicted model, not a curated record. The transcript has 3 exons.
AAGUAAUGCAGUGAAGUGAGUGAAACCCACAAAUCUGAAUUAUUAAAGCUGGUGUGGACGCAUAAAUAACAAGCUAAGACUCGUUCGACACAUCAUGUUUCCUCCAUUUACUUUUAGUGAAAGUCACCGACUCAAUGAACAUAACAGUCCUACCAGUGCAGAGCCUAUGACCUUAGGAUCUCCUGUGUCAAGUCCAACAGGCAAAUCUUCAGCUCAAAAUUAUCUUCCUCCAUAUUUAUUUGGCGAAGCUCCUGCUUCUCCU